RNAcentral lists this long non-coding RNA (1160 nucleotides) under Equus asinus (donkey). RNAcentral's name for it is "lncRNA (ENSEASG00005024529.1)". The record is from RNAcentral. Lineage: Eukaryota; Metazoa; Chordata; Mammalia; Perissodactyla; Equidae.
AUCCCGGCCGGUUUCUAGCUCCCUGUGGUUUCUGGAAGGCUGGGAGCCGGCCCACAGCACACCGCGGAGGGCGCUGGGGAUGCAGCCUCUCUCUUGGCUUGAUGCCCCACAGGCUGACUGUCCCUGGGGGAGGCCUGAGGAUCUGUGGUCCGGAGCAGCCCCGAGGAGCAGAGGAAUCCCAGGCUCCCAGGGGAUGUGCUACUGGUCCAGAGACCACCCUUGGAGAACUCCCGCCUCGGGGGCGUCUACUUGCAGCCUCUGCUCCAACAGGAAGAAGACAACAUACACUGAAGUCCUGCACAGGGUUCAGAGAGAGGAAUUCUAGUGAAGAAACACAGCACAGAAAAAUUUGCACGAGAGCAGCAAGCCAGAGGAACAGAGCUUCCCACUCUUCCCGCUUUGUCCCUCUAAGACCCAGAACCAACUGUUGAAAAAAACCCAAGCCGUGGCCAGCUCCCCAUACCCGCAGCCACACCACAGAGUCACGUUAAGCCAGGGAGCGAGGCCGCUGCCAGCAAACCCAGGCAAUUUCCCUCCAGCUGCCUACCUCCCCCUCAGUUUACUGGCCUUGCCCACGACAGACGUAACACCUUGAUCUCUUACUCCUAAACAGCCGCCUACACAAUGCUAAUGUCACCGCGCCAGCAGAGCAGGGGAACAGGGCCCGUGACUGGGUGCUGCAGGAAGGCACCUGGGACAAAAUUCACCUCUGCAGCUGUAGAUCUCCGUCCGGGUCAAGUCGGUUGCCCGUGGAACUGACUUGGGAAGAGCAGAGAGGGGAGAGCCAAGCGCCCCGUCCCUCCUCACCUGCUCUAUCAGCCAAGUCUCAGACUGAGGCUGCCAGGACCCAGAUUCUUCCACUAACAAUUAAUCGUUAUCGGCUGGUCUAGGCAAUGAGUGCAUGAACCGGACUGGGCUGGGGCAAGAGACAGGAAUGAGCUAGAGCCCCAUGAACGUGACCCAGCCCGCAGAAUUUCCCUCUGUGCUCCAAGCACAACAGACCUUUUCGGGCCUCAGAUGUCUGAAAUGGAGAAGUGGAUGGAUGCCCGCAAAGAAGAAUUUUUCUUAUCAUUUAUUGAACACCUACAGUCCGCCCAACGCCUCUCAAGCACUAUCUCCAAUCUCUACGAUAACCCUAGAGCAUCAUUUGUUUUGUUAUC